RNAcentral lists this unclassified non-coding RNA (289 nucleotides) under Chaetomiaceae sp. Its description in RNAcentral is "partial contains 5.8S ribosomal RNA, internal transcribed spacer 2, and large subunit ribosomal RNA". The stretch from base 1 to 71 matches the Rfam family "5.8S ribosomal RNA", at positions 84 to 154 of the family's 154-position model. Lineage: Eukaryota; Fungi; Ascomycota; Sordariomycetes; Sordariales; Chaetomiaceae. The record is from RNAcentral.
GUGAAUCAUCGAAUCUUUGAACGCACAUUGCGCCCGCCAGUAUUCUGGCGGGCAUGCCUGUUCGAGCGUCAUUUCAACCAUCAAGCCCCCGGGCUUGUGUUGGGGACCUGCGGCUGCCGCAGGCCCUGAAAACCAGUGGCGGGCUCGCUAGUCACUCCGAGCGUAGUAGUUUACACCUCGCUCAGGGCGUGCUGCGGGUUCCGGCCGUUAAAAGCCUUAUUUUACCCAAGGUUGACCUCGGAUCAGGUAGGAAGACCCGCUGAACUUAAGCAUAUCAAUAAGCGGAGGA